RNAcentral lists this ribosomal RNA (1007 nucleotides) under Cellulomonas sp. 1152G33. RNAcentral's name for it is "bacterial SSU rRNA". It matches the Rfam family "Bacterial small subunit ribosomal RNA", at positions 67 to 1085 of the family's 1533-position model. The record is from RNAcentral. Lineage: Bacteria; Bacillati; Actinomycetota; Actinomycetes; Micrococcales; Cellulomonadaceae.
CGGUGACGAUGGAGCUUGCUCUGUCUGAUCAGUGGCGAACGGGUGAGUAACACGUGAGUAACCUGCCCCCGACUCUGGAAUAACCGUGGGAAACGACGGCUAAUACCGGAUAUGAGACGCACAGGCAUCUGUGUGUCUGGAAAGAUUUAUCGGUCAGGGAUGGACUCGCGGCCUAUCAGCUUGUUGGUGGGGUAAUGGCCUACCAAGGCGACGACGGGUAGCCGGCCUGAGAGGGCGACCGGCCACACUGGGACUGAGAUACGGCCCAGACUCCUACGGGAGGCAGCAGUGGGGAAUAUUGCACAAUGGGCGCAAGCCUGAUGCAGCGACGCCGCGUGAGGGAUGAAGGCCUUCGGGUUGUAAACCUCUUUCAGCAGGGAAGAAGCGAAAGUGACGGUACCUGCAGAAGAAGCGCCGGCUAACUACGUGCCAGCAGCCGCGGUAAUACGUAGGGCGCAAGCGUUGUCCGGAAUUAUUGGGCGUAAAGAGCUCGUAGGCGGUUUGUCGCGUCUGCUGUGAAAACCUGAGGCUCAACCUCGGGCUUGCAGUGGGUACGGGCAGACUAUACUGCGGUAGGGGUGACUGGUAAUUCCUAGUGUAGCGGUGGAAUGCGCAGAUAUCAGGAGGAACACCGAUGGCGAAGGCAGGUCACUGGGCCGCAACUGACGCUGAGGAGCGAAAGCAUGGGGAGCGAACAGGAUUAGAUACCCUGGUAGUCCAUGCCGUAAACGUUGGGCACUAGGUGUGGGGCUCAUUCCACGAGUUCCGUGCCGCAGCAAACGCAUUAAGUGCCCCGCCUGGGGAGUACGGCCGCAAGGCUAAAACUCAAAGAAAUUGACGGGGGCCCGCACAAGCGGCGGAGCAUGCGGAUUAAUUCGAUGCAACGCGAAGAACCUUACCAAGGCUUGACAUACACCGGAAAAGUGCAGAGAUGUGCUCCCCGCAAGGUCGGUGUACAGGUGGUGCAUGGUUGUCGUCAGCUCGUGUCGUGAGAUGUUGGGUUAAGU